This 91-nucleotide transfer RNA is filed under the name Suillus placidus. It matches the Rfam family "tRNA". From Rfam's summary of the family: Transfer RNA (tRNA) molecules are approximately 80 nucleotides in length. Their secondary structure includes four short double-helical elements and three loops (D, anti-codon, and T loops). Further hydrogen bonds mediate the characteristic L-shaped molecular structure. tRNAs have two regions of fundamental functional importance: the anti-codon, which is responsible for specific mRNA codon recognition, and the 3' end, to which the tRNAs corresponding amino acid is attached (by aminoacyl-tRNA synthetases). tRNAs cope with the degeneracy of the genetic code in two manners: having more than one tRNA (with a specific anti-codon) for a particular amino acid; and 'wobble' base-pairing, i.e. permitting non-standard base-pairing at the 3rd anti-codon position. Lineage: Eukaryota; Fungi; Basidiomycota; Agaricomycetes; Boletales; Suillaceae. The record is from Rfam by way of RNAcentral.
GGCACUGUAGCCAAGUGGUUACGGCGUCACGUUUAGGUCAUGUGCCAAUCCGUGAUGGGAAACCUCGCGAGUUCGAAUCUCGUCAGUGUCA